GUGACGUUAGCUCAGUAUUGGUAGAGCGCCCGGUUGUGGUCCAGGUGGUCACGGGUUCAAGUCCCGUACGUCACC
This 75-nucleotide transfer RNA is filed under the name Candidatus Brocadiales bacterium. RNAcentral's name for it is "tRNA-His". It matches the Rfam family "tRNA". From Rfam's summary of the family: Transfer RNA (tRNA) molecules are approximately 80 nucleotides in length. Their secondary structure includes four short double-helical elements and three loops (D, anti-codon, and T loops). Lineage: Bacteria; Pseudomonadati; Planctomycetota; Candidatus Brocadiia; Candidatus Brocadiales. The record is from RNAcentral.